This 75-nucleotide transfer RNA is filed under the name Abditibacteriota bacterium. RNAcentral describes it as "tRNA-Glu". It matches the Rfam family "tRNA". From Rfam's summary of the family: Transfer RNA (tRNA) molecules are approximately 80 nucleotides in length. Their secondary structure includes four short double-helical elements and three loops (D, anti-codon, and T loops). The record is from RNAcentral. Lineage: Bacteria; Pseudomonadati; Abditibacteriota.
GGUCUCAUGGUGCAUCGGUUAGCACACGGCCCUUUCAAGGCCGGGAGGGGGGUUCAACUCCCCCUGAGACCGCCA